This 423-nucleotide unclassified non-coding RNA is filed under the name uncultured fungus. RNAcentral describes it as "sequence contains ITS1, 5.8S rRNA gene, ITS2 and 28S rRNA gene". The stretch from base 179 to 332 matches the Rfam family "5.8S ribosomal RNA". Lineage: Eukaryota; Fungi. The record is from RNAcentral.
GGAAGGAUCAUUAUUGAAAUAAAUCUGAUGGGUUGUUGCUGGUUCUCUAGGGAGCAUGUGCACGCCUUGUCAUCUUUAUAUCUCCACCUGUGCACCUUUUGUAGACCUUUCAGGUCUAUGUUGCUUCAUUUACCCCAAUGUAUGUUAAUAGAAUGUUGUGCCUAUAUACAAUAUAUACAACUUUCAGCAACGGAUCUCUUGGCUCUCGCAUCGAUGAAGAACGCAGCGAAAUGCGAUAAGUAAUGUGAAUUGCAGAAUUCAGUGAAUCAUCGAAUCUUUGAACGCACCUUGCGCUCCUUGGUAUUCCGAGGAGCAUGCCUGUUUGAGUGUCAUUAAUAUAUCAACCUUCUCUUGUGGAAUGGUUUGGAUGUGGGGGUUUGCUGGUCUCAUAUAUAUAUAUAUGGGUUCAGCUCUCCUGAAAUG